Molecule: ribosomal RNA, 253 nt
Filed under: uncultured bacterium
Lineage: Bacteria
Description: partial 16S ribosomal RNA
Rfam family: Bacterial small subunit ribosomal RNA
Source: RNAcentral
UACGUAGGGGGCAAGCGUUGUCCGGAUUUAUUGGGCGUAAAGAGCGUGUAGGCGGUCAGGUAGGUCAGCUGUGAAAACUCGAGGCUCAACCUCGAGACGCCGGUUGAAACCAUCUGACUAGAGUCCGGAAGAGGAGAGUGGAAUUCCUGGUGUAGCGGUGAAAUGCGCAGAUAUCAGGAAGAACACCCGUGGCUAAGGCGGCUCUCUAGGACGGUACUGACGCUGAGACGCGAAAGCGUGGGGAGCGAACAGG